CCAGCAGCCGCGGUAAUACGUAGGAUGCAAGCGUUAUCCGGAAUUAUUGGGCGUAAAGAGUGUGUAGGUGGCGUGUUAAGUUAAAUGUUAAAUCCCAGGGCUCAACUCAGGGGCUGCAUUUAAUACUGGCAUGCUUGAGGUAUGGAGAGGUAAGCGGAAUUAGUAGUGUAGCAGUGAAAUGCGUAGAUAUUACUAGGAACACCAAUGGCGAAGGCAGCUUACUGGCCAUAUUCUGACGCUGAGACACGAAAGCGUGGGGAGCGAACGGGAUUAGAUACCCCGGUAGUCCACGCCGUAAACGAUGAUCACUAGCUGUGUGGGGAGUCGACCCCCUGCGUAGUGAAGCUAACGCGUUAAGUGAUCCGCCUGGGGAGUACGGUCGCAAGGCUAAAACUCAAAGGAAUUGACGGGGGCCCGCACA
This 421-nucleotide ribosomal RNA is filed under the name uncultured bacterium. Its description in RNAcentral is "bacterial SSU rRNA". It matches the Rfam family "Bacterial small subunit ribosomal RNA", at positions 508 to 927 of the family's 1533-position model. The record is from RNAcentral.